Molecule: ribosomal RNA, 143 nt
Filed under: uncultured eukaryote
Lineage: Eukaryota
Description: partial 18S ribosomal RNA
Rfam family: Eukaryotic small subunit ribosomal RNA
Source: RNAcentral
UGGUGGAGUGAUUUGUCUGGUUAAUUCCGUUAACGAACGAGACCUCAGCCUACUAAAUAGUAGGACAAAUACCUUGUGUAUUGGUCUUCUACUUCUUAGAGGGACUUUGGGUGUUUAGCCCAAGGAAGUUUGAGGCAAUAACA